Long non-coding RNA from Mustela lutreola (European mink), 3885 nucleotides. RefSeq lists it as uncharacterized. The record is from RefSeq and is a predicted model, not a curated record. NCBI's taxonomy places the organism in Eukaryota, Metazoa, Chordata, Mammalia, Carnivora, Mustelidae. The transcript is spliced from 2 exons.
UUGAACCCAGGCUGUCUCUGCAAACCCUUGCACACACUGCCUCCUGACUGCGUCUCUUUGUUUCUUUGUGUGUCUCUCCAGUCAGAGACACUUGACUAUUUCCCCUAAUUCCUGCUCUUGGAACAGAUGAUUUCCAAGAUCCCUUCAAGUAUUGAAAUUCCAUGACUGAUUAAAGUUUGUAAUUUAUGCAAUUUGAUUAAUUUGCACCAACGCCUAAGUUCAUUUAUUACAUUAAUUCUUUUACUGAAGACUCCAACUGCUUUUUAGUUUACUUACAGAUCUCAUGAUGUUCAGGGAAUCUUGAUGCCUUUCCAAGAAUAAUAUUUAAAACCUGAAUUUUAAAAUUUAAGGUUUAAAAACAUAUCUGAAAGGAUUUUUACCAUGCACAAAAUUUAUCAAUUUUCCAUGUGGACCAAAAUAGUUCUUUUAAGCCCCUGUUCUCUUGGUUGUCUUUCCUUAGCCUCACAGAUGCAGUGCUAAUUGCUUGCAGCUUCGGGUCUGUUUCAACAUGAGGUAACAAUUUCGGCGUCUUGGGGUCGAGCGCUGCAUUUGUUAGACAUGCCAGGUCUGCGAUGGUUGUUGGCACGUCAGGAUGCCGAAUCCACGUGGAGCUCAACUCCUCUGAAUGGGGGGGGGGGCUUCCUGAGAACUUCCUGUUGUGCUCCUCUGAACCCCAGAGCACCUGUGUGGUUCCACUGCCAGUGCACCUCUUGGUCAACCUGGCACCUUGGUGGGAUGGCCCUUGCGGACAGGUGCAGGCAUUUGAAUCCUCCUAGUCAAGCUGUGGUUUUUGAAGAAUGGUUCCAGAACUCGCAUUUAUUCACAGACCUACCAGUUGGGCUGGUCCCAGUGACCAAGUUGCUCUUAGCAGCUAAAAUUCAUUCUGACUGGAUGGAGAAGACAAAGAAGGCCAAAAAGAAGGGAAAUUCAAAAAAAAAAAAAAAAAAGUGUGUGGGGAUUCUGCAACCACAUCUGUAAUUAGGGAGCCAUAGGACUAACUGUGGAGAAUGGCUGGACCUCGUCUGGCUUUGCGCCUUGUCUGUAGUUCUGGUCAUCAGGGUCAGAAAAGCCUGGUUUCCAACAAAGCUCUGCUAUGAAAGGCUGUGCAGUACAGAGGAUGGCAUUCGAACCCUUAGCUUCGGUUUCCUCAUCUGUAAAUGGAGAUGGUGGCAUCUCCCCCACAGGCGUGUUGUGAGGACCACAUGUUGAUGCCAAAACGCCCAGGUCCAACACGCGGUCAGCAGCUGGUGAUGUUGUUUUUACUCCCUUCUCCCCUCCCCACCAUGGGCCACACUCCUCGAAAAAUAAGGUUCUUGCUAACUAGUGGUUUAGGAGCACUUGCGCGGCGUGCACCGUAUGUGUGCUAGCUGAGGUUUCAAUAAGCCUAAUGUUGAAAUCUUGCUUGAAAUAUACUUAGGGAAAUACCAAAAGGUACUCCAGAGCAGGUUGCUUUAUAGAGAUAAUAAUACUUUCCUGAAUCCUUUUAAUUUAGGCUUUUUAUAUAUCAUAUUUUCAUGAAAUGAGACAACCUCCUCCCACCACAGCUCCUUAGGGGAGCAAUAGCAAGGAGCAGACAGUGUUUGCUUCCUGGAGAUGCUCACGCACCCUCCUUCCUGGGUUUCUCCAAAAGGCCAGCUCAUUUAGCACAGCUGUCGGGUGCUUGCUCCCCUUCCCCUGGGAUGAGGGGUCCGCCCAGGUCCCUACAGCAGGCUAAGACUUGAGUUAACAGGUUAAAAUUGAAGAGUCAUGAUGGGUCUGUGUCAGAGAACCAGCAGUGUGGAAGGGACUUUCCCCAGGGAGCUGCCUGGGGCCACCUUGGAGAGGCUGGUCCUUACCUUGCCCCAGAGAUCCUAUGCCAAGCACCUCCGUGCAGAGCAUUAGAAUCAUACCUGGCCCACAGGAAGCAAUGCAUGUCAACCAUGAUUACUAAUGUUACUAUUAUUAUUGUAGUACUUGUUGCAAGACGCUCUGGGAUUUGUCUCGGGUUGUCUUUUGAAAAGGUUCUUCCAUCCUACAGAAUCAAGGGGUGGAUUUUAGGACCCGUAGCUGUACGGCCAAUGGAAAAGCAAUAUGACAGCCUCAGGAUUGAUUCCUCCAAUCGUGUCAGACCCUCUAUGCCCUCCUUAUGCUCCCUAAAUAGCCAACCAGCUGAGCUCUGGCUGGGUCCUUCCGAUUUACCUGGGCCAUUGCAGUCUCCUGAAUCCUGCCGAAGCAAUGAACACCUCAUUGGUAUUCAUCGGAUGGGCUGAUGGAAAUGGAAUGUAGCCAGACUGCUAAGCCCGCGCCGUCCUGAAUUGAGGUCUCAGAAAUCUGAUUCUGAGAACGUACAUCUUGCAUUACAAUCUAGAUUUCCAGAGUAAAGUUUUGGACGGAAUAACCUAGACCUAGCUCUGGGUAAGUUAAGGCCUGGGUGAAAUGAGGCAGAAAGAGCCCAGGAUAUACAAAUCUGAGUCUUGGCUGGGGAGGUGCAGAAGAUUUGAGGUGCAAGACAGCUGGCUUCCCUCCAAGUGUUUACCACCCUGGUGCCCUGGGGCUGUGGGCAGGCCGGUGCUUAUUUGCCCCUCCCACCUUCCUCUCUCUUCCCCCUCCUCCGCAUAUUUUCCACAGGCUAAAGAAACUCAGGCACCUAUGGACCCAGAGGGAAAGUAAUGGGGCAAAUGAGACCAGGGGAUUGGACUUUGCUCUGGUUGAGGAUACCAUGGGUUUACAGUGGAUGAUCUCUCUGACUGUUAAAUGUAAGAGCUGGCCUUGGACUUUGAAUCCCAGUGCUCACCCUCCUCUGUCUGGGUGUGGACCUCCUUCCCUAGAAGCUUUGGUCUCCAGGAGAGAGGAUGGCAUGAGGCCUGGUCUUGUAUCUCUAGGAAACAGGAAGAUGGUGGCAACCAAGAAUUGAAACCGGCCAGUGACAACAGGGCUGCUGUUUCUUCCCUGCCCCAUCCCUCCCCCAACCCCCCUCAUCCUAUGGUGCCCAGGCUGCUGUACUAUGUGGAUCCCACAGACCUUGCCAUGGGCCUUCUUAGAGACCUCUGAUGCAUGUGGCCGGGGGUCUCUUUGGUGGACACGUCUCUGAGUUCACCUCCCAGAGGAGAAAGUAUAUGCCAAUGAGACCAACUGUGGCUCUUAACUGAUGUGCCUGCUCCUCAGACAAUAACUGUUGUUCAUUCUGGGACUCCUUUCUCUUCUUGCAUUAUGACACAUGGAGUCCUGAGCCCAACCUAGCCUCUGGAACAGAAGAAUAUGUGCUUGCAGGUGCUUUCUGAAGAAAGUAUUCAGAAACACAGACAACUGUGUAUCAAACUGGAGGAAUUACUUUGAUAAGGAGAGGAAGAAACUGGCCCCUCCACACGUAAGCUUCCCCUGCCUUUGCCUUGAGGGUGUGGUUGCCAGGUAAGUAUGUGGUAAGAGGCUCCACGCUGUUUCCCACCCCAGUUUUAUUGAUUCAGCCACCCUGUGGAUGCUGGAAACUCAUUUUCCCAAGUGCAUUAUUUUUCUUGUUUAUUUCUCUUGUAUACAUGUAUUCUUCCAGCAGCCUGCCUGGCUUUAUUAAAAGAUAUUUAUGUUUUCUGAUCACUUCUUCUUCCUUCUGUUCCUUCCAGGAAUGGAAAAUCAAUCUGAGUGUCAUUAAGAGGAUAUUCCCCGAAGAAGAUUGCUGGUGACAGUGGAUUUCUCACCCAACUUACUUUCUUUCACUGAGCAAUUGGAAUUUCCUCCACAGAGGGGUGAGACCCUGUGUUAUUACACUGUCUGAAUUCAGGCAGGCCUUUUAUGGAUACGCCAAGUCCUCAUUCCAUUGUCUCAUUGUCAGCGGCUGAUCUGAUCUCUACACUGAUUAAUUAGUUUCAAAUCCCUUCAUAUUGAUCUAAUAAAAUCGGCUUGUUUAAUUCA